Molecule: long non-coding RNA, 1052 nt
Filed under: Homo sapiens (human)
Lineage: Eukaryota; Metazoa; Chordata; Mammalia; Primates; Hominidae
Description: HSALNT0185323
Source: RNAcentral
GCCCGCAGCCCCUGGCCUGCGGCCCCCACCUUCUCGGCCGGGCAGGAAGUGACAGGCCCGGAGCGAGCCCCGGAGGCCUGGCUGAGCCGCGGCCGGGCCCGCACCCGGAGCGGCGGGAGGGGCGGGGAGCCGCGGUCGCGCCGGGCGCCUCCCACCCCGCCCUCGGCGCCCCCGCCCCUCCAGGAAGGGGAGGAGGCGAGGGGAGCCCGCCGCGGAGGCCGAGCGAGCCCCCAGCCCAGCCUGGCGACUGGGGACCCCGGCACAUGAGGUGGACGCCCCCGGGGAAGACUUGGGUGCACAGCCAGGCGAGAAGCCGAGCAUGCUGUCUAGUUAUCUCCCUGCUUUCGUGGUCCGCUGGGUUCCUCAGCCUCCAGUUCCUUGACUUCUGCCUCUGCUCUCUGUAUGCACAUGUCCCAGCUCACUUGGGUCAGUUCAUUCCCGGCGCACCACUGGAUCCACCCCCUUCCCCCAGUGUAUUUGAUUUCUCUUUGAAACAUCAUUUUCAUCAAGGUUCUAUAUAGAACGAGGACCCUUGGGCGUCUACUCCCUGUUCUCUUGAUUAUUACCGUGUCUUUGGCACAGUCUUCCCUGAACCACCCCCUUCUCCCGUCCCCCUUCCUAUGUCCCAUCCUUUCUGCAUGAUAAGAGUUUCGUGCUUAGGGAUAUUGACUUUCUCCAACUCUCGGCCCAAUGCUAAGUCCACCUCAAUGUCCCAUUCUAACUCCCUUCGGUAGGUCUGUGCGCCUACCCAACCCCAUGUAUGCCCACAUGCUACCUUUUAAGAUGACCAUGGCUUAGCUACUCUGGGGGCAUCUGUGGAUCAGCUUCUCACUGUCUUCCAGUUUAAUUUGGAAAAUUUUGAUACCUGGUGCUGCCCAAACUGUUUGUUGUCUCCAUUUUUUAUAUUUAAUCUUGUAGUCAUAAUGUUGAUCACAAAUGAAUACAUUUAUGUGCCCGGGAUCCAGGAAUCCUGGUUUUGGUGGCAGUUUCCCUUGAUUUUAUUGAGACUUUUAAGUUGGUCCCUUUACAUUUUUAUUUCUAGUUCACAAUCC